UCAAUGUCAACUUAUUUAUAUUUUGUUAAAUAAUAUUCCGUUAAUGAUUUUACAAAAGAGUGAAGCUUGAAAAAUGGUGUUCGAAUUUUUUUUCCUGGAUUUCUUUACCACAUUCGUUCUAUACAUGGCAACACAUACUUUGUGUGAUCCUCUAGAAUAUACCAGAAGUCAAUUGGUCGUUCAAGUUAUAACAUUGCGGUUGCUAAUUGGAUGUUUUCUUAACAUGCUUGGAUAUGGAACUUUAUUCGGUAUUUUUGUCAAAGAUGGGAACAAAGAAAACGAUGGCGAAUUUGUGUUUCUUUGUCUUACUUUGCUGUACUUCAUAUUAUUCUCCACGUGCGUGCGGUUUAUGUUCUAUAGAACGUUUAGUAAGAUCAACAAUGCAAAUAUUUACAAAUAUUGGAACCGUUUUAGACACAUCAGCAUUCUAUACAGAUUUCUAGAAAUGCUUUACAACACAUUAUUAUUAUGUUAUUGUUUAUAUUUAUCAGAUUGGAAAAUGUCACUUUUCAUGAUCGGAGUAACAUGCGUUUACUGCAUCGAAAUGAUUACUUGCCUUAUAGUUCUCGCUGUAGUUAUACAGGAUAAAUUUGGGGGAUUUGAGUUUAAUAAAAGCCUAAUAAAAUAUAACCGUAAGAGACAAAUGUUAAAAACAGGAUUCAUGAACAAGACUGCAAACCUAAAAGAUAUACAUCCAGCUACAACAGAGACUUCCUUUUCAGAUGUAGACGAAACGAUAAUAGCAUCGGAGACAGAAAUUCAAGUAAACCUGGAAGCAAAAGUUAGUAGAAAACUUUUAAAGAUAGCAUGU
This is a long non-coding RNA of Mytilus californianus (California mussel), 811 nucleotides long. RefSeq lists it as uncharacterized. Lineage: Eukaryota; Metazoa; Mollusca; Bivalvia; Mytilida; Mytilidae. The record is from RefSeq and is a predicted model, not a curated record. The transcript has 3 exons.